RNAcentral lists this ribosomal RNA (584 nucleotides) under Gomphus exilis (lancet clubtail). RNAcentral describes it as "partial 12S ribosomal RNA". Lineage: Eukaryota; Metazoa; Arthropoda; Insecta; Odonata; Gomphidae. The record is from RNAcentral.
GAAAAAGUGAAUAUUAUUGGUUUAGUAGGUAAUAUUUAUUUGUUUAUUAAAAUUAUAAUUUUUAGGUGAAAUUUUAAUUUUUUAAUAUUUAUAUUUAUUGAAGCUAUGGAAUUUAUACUAAAAACGAGGAUUAGAUACCCUUUUAUUGUUAAUGUAAAAUUUUUAAACCAGGGUAGUAAUAGUUAAGUUCUUGAAACCCAAAGAAUUUGGCGGUAUUUUAGUCCUUUCAGAGGAAUCUGUCCCAUAUUCGACGGUCCACGAGAGAAUUUACUUAUUCUUGUAUUUCAGUUUGUAUACCUCCGUCUUAAGAAGAUCUUUUUAGAGAUGGAAUUUUCUUGAUAUAUAAAUUAUAAGAUGUCAGGUCAAGGUGCAAUUUAUGAAUAAAAGGAGAUGGAUUUCAAUAAAUGGAUUUACACGGAUUGAAUUAUUUGAUUUUUUUAUGAAGGGGGAUUUGAUAGUAAGAUUGAUUAUUUGUUAUUAUGAUUGUGGCUCUAAAAUAUGCUACACAUCGCCCGUCGCUCUCAUUUCUAAAAUGAGAUAAGUCGUAACAUAGUAGGUGUAUCGGAAGAUGUACCUAGUAAGUA